GACGAACGCUGGCGGCGUGCCUAACACAUGCAAGUCAACUUGAAGGAAGGAGCAAUCUGACCUGAUGGUGCGCAAGGGUGCGUAACGCGUAAGUAACUUGCCCAAGGUAAGGAAUAACGUCGAGAAAUCGGCGCUAAUACCUCAUAAUGCAGCGGAUCCGCAUGGAUAUGUUGUUAAAGGUUUACCGCCUUGGGAUAGGCUUGCGUCUGAUUAGCUAGUUGGUGUGGUAAUGGCGCACCAAGGCUACGAUCAGUAACUGGUCUGAGAGGAUGAUCAGUCACACUGGAACUGAGACACGGUCCAGACUCCUACGGAGCAGCAGUGAGGAAUAUUGGGCAAUGCACGAAAGUGUGACCCAGCAACGCCG
Molecule: ribosomal RNA, 367 nt
Filed under: uncultured bacterium
Lineage: Bacteria
Description: bacterial SSU rRNA
Rfam family: Bacterial small subunit ribosomal RNA
Source: RNAcentral